AUGGUGGCGACACUUGUCACCACCGGACCAGCCAACCAAACCAACAUAAUAAUAAUCAAAACGAACAAAUUAUUAUUAACAUGUAUUAAGAAAAUAUUAAAGGCAGAAAAAAAAUUCUCAAUCCUCUGUCUCUCGCUCUACUCCACCCUUCAUUCUCUGUCUCAAACAUUAAACAAACAAAAUAGACUCAAAAAGUAA
This is a non-coding RNA of Vicia faba (fava bean), 198 nucleotides long. The record is from the annotation of a GenBank genome assembly. NCBI's taxonomy places the organism in Eukaryota, Viridiplantae, Streptophyta, Magnoliopsida, Fabales, Fabaceae.